RNAcentral lists this ribosomal RNA (454 nucleotides) under Cylindera elisae. RNAcentral's name for it is "partial 16S ribosomal RNA". It matches the Rfam family "Bacterial large subunit ribosomal RNA", at positions 1796 to 2523 of the family's 2925-position model. The record is from RNAcentral. Lineage: Eukaryota; Metazoa; Arthropoda; Insecta; Coleoptera; Carabidae.
UCGCCUGUUAACAAAAACAUGUCCUUUUGAAUAUAUUUAAGGUCUAACCUGCCCAAUGAGGAUUUAAAUGGCCGCAGUAUUUUGACUGUGCAAAGGUAGCAUAAUUAUUAGUUUUUUAAUUGAAAGCUUGUAUGAAGGGUUGGACGAGAUAAAAUCUGUCUUUAUUUAAAUUAAAAUAGAAUUUAACUUUUAAGUCAAAAGGCUUAAAUUUUUAUAAAAGACGAGAAGACCCUAUAGAUCUUUAUUUAAUUAAUAUUUUGAUAAUUUAAGAUUAUUUUAAUUUAAAAUUUUAAUUGAAUUUUAUUGGGGUAAUAUAAAGAUUAAAAAAAUUCUUUUUAUUUAUAACAUUAAUUUAUGAAUAUAUGAUCCAAUAUUAUUGAUUAUAAGAUUAAGUUACCUUAGGGAUAACAGCGUAAUUUUUUUGGAGAGCUCAUAUCGAUAAAAAAGUUUGCGA